CAUUUCAAAAUAUUUUCAAUAUAGAUUUACCGUAUUCAUAAGGUAAUCCUAUCACAUACCAAAACCAAAAUUUGUUAGCCAUAUUAAUGGCUAACCAUACAUUCAUUCCACAUUAACAUCUACUUUACUAGCUUAUACAUGCCAUUGAUUUCCAAAAUAAGUUUCUUUAUGUACCGAGAUCUUGAGGUUGAUAGUGUGAUGCUUCUCCGACCAAAUCCGACCUCCGAGCUCUUAACACUACAAAAUAGGGGAAAAAGAAACAGGAUAAGCACUUUGUGCUUAGUAAGCUCAUGUAACAAGAGUUAUACUUACCUAAUAUUUUCCAUACAAUGUAAUAAAUAUUCAUACACCCAUUUCAUACAUUAUUCCCCUAUCAUGCACAAACUCAACAUUCAAAUUAGUCCAAUAAUUUCCAUGUAUCAAUAAUUUAUAUCAUGAUUGAUGAGCUCAUCAAUACCAUGAUUCCCAUUUCCUUGUUAUUUUUCCAUAUUUAUCCCGUUGAACUACUUGGAAUUUCGAUGGAUUUUCAGAGGUACACUUUAGUGUACUAAUCCGGGUCCGUCAAUUCAUAUUCAUGUGCGCACAUUUCCAUUUCAGAGAGCACACUCCCGCGAACCUCAUCUUUACAGCGGGAUUACCAGUCCAGGCUAAAUCCCCUGUAAUAUAAACUCAUAGAGUAUUGUCAGGAUUACCAGUCCAGGCUAAAUCCCCUGCAACGACAAUUACUCUAAUGAGCUUGGAUCUGAAUUACCAGUCUAGGCUAAAUUCAGACCCUAAUUCGGAUUACCCGUCCGGGCUAAAUCCAUUUUCCACAUAUUCUUCGGGAGGGCUAUAUCAGAAUAGGAUCACCCGUCCGGGUUAGAUCCUUUUUACCGUCAAUUCCUUUUCAGAGAUCCAUCGAAUUUUUCCUUUCAUUCAACCGGGAUUUAUUUCCUCUUUUCAUCAAGAAUAUCAAUACUUCAUCAAUUAUCAUACAAUAAACAUCCAAAUCAUAUUCACAUCAAUAACAAACAUUUCAAGCAUUUAAGAAUAUAAUUCAAGUUACACGAACUUACCUCGACACUUGUUCGUAACCAAAAAUCUACUAAUCCCAAACUUUUUCUUUCCCUCGAUCUUGCUUCGUAUUUGAAUUUUCCGGAUCUAAAUAAAUAAAUUUAAUCAUUAAUCUAAUACUUUUCAUGUUCAUAUGUAACACUCUCUAUAAUUCCAUUAUUAUUUGUAGUGCAUUCAAAGCUGUUUCACUGAGUCACAGUCACUAAAUUAUUUAUAUCUUGAGGUACGGAACUCCAAAUCAAGAUCCAUUAAUUUUCCAUGAAACUAGGCUCACAUAUCUUCUUACCAUAAAAUUUUCAGAAUUUUUGGUGUAGCCAAUAAGUACAGUUUAUUCUUUAAAGUUUCCCCUGUUUCACUUCUUGACAGUUCCGACCCCUCUUCACUAAAAAUUAAUUAUCUCAUUGUACAGAAUUUGGAUGAUGUUUCCGUUUGUUUCUUCUGAAAAUAGACUCAUUAAGGAUUCUAACAAUAUAAAGUAUAACUCAUAAUCAUUUUUUUACAAUUUUUAAUGAUUUUACAAAGUCAGAACAGGGGAACCCGAAUUCAUUCUGACCUUAUCUCACAAAACCUAUUAUAUCUCAUGAUUUACAAUUCCAUUGCUUACACCAUUUAUUUUAUAAGAAACUAGACCCAAUAAGCUUUAAUUUCAUAUUUUAUUCAUCCUCUAAUUAAAUUUAUACAAUUUUUGGUGAUUUUUCAAAGUUAGCCUACUGCUGCUGUCCAAACUGUUUUAGUGCAUGAGGUUAAUUACCAUUUUUCCCUAAACUUUCAAUAAAUGAUAAUUUCAUCCUUGCUCAAUUAACCUCUCAAUUGAGCUGAUUUUUCAUAAAUUAACACAUUAUUCCAUCACUUUAAACUACUUUAUAACCUUUGGAAAUCCGAAUUUUAGCGUUAGACUUUAAUUCCAAACUUUUUCACAAUUAGGUCCUACAAAUCAAUUUCUAUUGAAAUCACCUAAUAAAAUCAUCUCAUAAACAAAUUAAAGCUUCAAUUUCAUGCUAUUUCAUCAUAAACUUCCAGCACAUAUUCAUAGCAACUUUCAAAUUCAUUCAUAAAAUCAAAAACUAAUGAAUUUGGUAAUAGGAUCUAGUUGUAAAAGUCUUAGAAAUACAAAAAUUACAAGAAAAAGGCAAGGAUUAACUCACUUGGUGCAAAAAUUAUGAAAAACCAGCUUGAAGAAACGCUUAGGACGUUUUUGGC
RNAcentral lists this long non-coding RNA (2253 nucleotides) under Gossypium raimondii (Peruvian cotton). RNAcentral's name for it is "long non-coding RNA (GRAI_LNC005146)". Lineage: Eukaryota; Viridiplantae; Streptophyta; Magnoliopsida; Malvales; Malvaceae. The record is from RNAcentral.